UGCCACGUCAUCAGCACCAAAAGCUAGUCACACAGAACAGCUUAGCUAGCAACGUCAACCCAGCAUUCAGAGCGCGGAGCUAUUUCGGAAAAGAAACAAGUAAGGUCAGAUGUGUCGUCCUCCUACACCCAACUUCCUGUCCUAGUCCCAGGAAGUUGUUAUGUUAUGCCAUUGGUCUUUGACGCUACUGAGUACUACGCAGAGGCUUGGAGGUACAGCUACAAGAGUACUGAGUUGAUGAGUACUGAAUCUACA
Sardina pilchardus (European sardine) is the source of this 255-nucleotide long non-coding RNA. RefSeq lists it as uncharacterized. The record is from RefSeq and is a predicted model, not a curated record. Lineage: Eukaryota; Metazoa; Chordata; Actinopteri; Clupeiformes; Clupeidae. The transcript has 3 exons.